RNAcentral lists this ribosomal RNA (400 nucleotides) under uncultured bacterium. Its description in RNAcentral is "bacterial SSU rRNA". It matches the Rfam family "Bacterial small subunit ribosomal RNA", at positions 359 to 776 of the family's 1533-position model. The record is from RNAcentral.
GAAUUUUGCUCAAUGGGCGAAAGCCUGAAGCAGCAACGCCGCGUGAGGGAUGAAGGCCUUCGGGUUGUAAACCUCUUUUCUCAGGGACGAUAAUGACGGUACCUGAGGAAUAAGCCACGGCUAACUACGUGCCAGCAGCCGCGGUAAUACGUAGGUGGCAAGCGUUGUCCGGAUUUACUGGGCGUAAAGAGCGCGCAGGCGGCCGAGUAAGUCGAAUGUGAAAGCCCCCGGCUCAACUGGGGAAGGUCAUUCGAUACUGUUCGGCUCGAAGAUAGGAGAGGGAAGCGGAAUUUCAGGUGUAGUGGUGAAAUGCGUAGAUAUCUGAAGGAACACCAGUGGCGAAGGCGGCUUUCUGGCCUAUUCUUGACGCUGAGGCGCGAAAGCUAGGGGAGCGAACGGG